GGUAGGGUAGCCGAGUGUCAGGCGGUGGGUUGUAGCCCCAAAGACAGAGGUUUAAGUCCUCUUCCUACCA
This 70-nucleotide transfer RNA is filed under the name Yuriria alta (sardina blanca). Its description in RNAcentral is "tRNA-Tyr". It matches the Rfam family "tRNA". Rfam says of the family: Transfer RNA (tRNA) molecules are approximately 80 nucleotides in length. Their secondary structure includes four short double-helical elements and three loops (D, anti-codon, and T loops). Further hydrogen bonds mediate the characteristic L-shaped molecular structure. tRNAs have two regions of fundamental functional importance: the anti-codon, which is responsible for specific mRNA codon recognition, and the 3' end, to which the tRNAs corresponding amino acid is attached (by aminoacyl-tRNA synthetases). tRNAs cope with the degeneracy of the genetic code in two manners: having more than one tRNA (with a specific anti-codon) for a particular amino acid; and 'wobble' base-pairing, i.e. permitting non-standard base-pairing at the 3rd anti-codon position. The record is from RNAcentral. Lineage: Eukaryota; Metazoa; Chordata; Actinopteri; Cypriniformes; Leuciscidae.